This 315-nucleotide unclassified non-coding RNA is filed under the name uncultured fungus. Its description in RNAcentral is "partial contains 5.8S ribosomal RNA and internal transcribed spacer 2". The stretch from base 1 to 133 matches the Rfam family "5.8S ribosomal RNA", at positions 22 to 154 of the family's 154-position model. The record is from RNAcentral. Lineage: Eukaryota; Fungi.
UGGUUCUGGCAUCGAUGAAGAACGCAGCGAAAUGCGAUAAGUAAUGUGAAUUGCAGAAUUCAGUGAAUCAUCGAAUCUUUGAACGCACAUUGCGCCCCUUGGCAUUCCGAGGGGCAUGCCCGUUCGAGCGUCAUUAACACCCCUCAAGCCUGGCUUGGCCUUGGGCGGCGGGGUCACCCCCGCGCCUGCAAUUCCUCGGUGGGACGGCGAGGGCUCCCAGCGUUGCGGCGAUCCACACCCGCUGGCGAGCCCGCCCGGCCCGGCCGGUCCCCAUCACCUCAGGUUGACCUCGGAUCGGGUAGGGAUACCCGCUGA